GUAUUGAAAAUCCGCUAAAGGUCGACGUGCCGUCGUGUUCAGUAUAUAAUAUUGUACAGGCAAAGAAAGCAAAAAAUAAAAUACAGAAAAAAACAUGGUUCCUUGGUCAAUAUUACUAUUAUGUACGAGACGUAUUGUGUGAUGCGACAAAUUGUGUAAGACCUAUGAGGUGCUGAACAAGAAAAAAAUUUAAGACGAUAUCGUUCCAAGUGUGAAAAUGAAUGUACAGUCCCAUGAGCGAGAGGUGGUUAUAUACACAAUUCACUACGGUCCUAUAAUACGAUCAUUGAGUAGAAAAAAACAGUAUUUUUUCUUCCUAAAAACCAUCGUCCAAAUGAUGAGCAGAAAUCAAUUCGAGAAAAAAAAUAAUCAAAAUAACUAUGGUCGAAAAAAAAAGGUUAUCGACGCGGACAAAGCGAUGGUGGGACGAUCCGUCUGCACGCGGAUGCAUUAUGGCGUGUGAGAAAAACAUGGUUGACAUCGUUUUGAACGUCGCACGCGCAAUUAUAAUUCGGGCAGACGUCGGCGUCAUCGUCACCACAAUACGCCGCCACCAACCACGACUAAAUGUAUCUCAGAUGUCCCGCAACCAAAAUCAUCAUUGGAAUUUCACCAGGUCGAAGGCGCAAGAUUUCUCCUCGGGCAAGCGAAAAACGCGAGACUUCAUUUCAAUUAUUUAGACGAUUGCAGGCCGCAGCCCAAGACGCGCCUUCCUCAGCCGGAAUUUAUGCUCAUUUCCGACUUAAUUGUCAUUCCUCACAAGAUAAUGGAAAAUUAAAUUCGUCCUUUUCGCAGGACAGAAUAUUUGCAUACACGUGGAUAUACAUAAUAUGUCGUACACUAUGCUAUUAAUAUUGUCACGAAAUUAUGAUUAUACUUGCAGAAAAAAAUGAUGUCAUCAAGCGGUGAUUGAACCGUAGACAUUUAAUUGCCUGUUGCUUAAAAUCGAUUAAUUUGACAUAAUAUUGAUUAAAUAACCAUAGUGUUUCUACUACGCACAGCUAAAAAAUGUGAAAAGGAGAAACAGCAUUCUAAUCUAA
Long non-coding RNA from Myzus persicae (green peach aphid), 1040 nucleotides. RefSeq lists it as uncharacterized. NCBI's taxonomy places the organism in Eukaryota, Metazoa, Arthropoda, Insecta, Hemiptera, Aphididae. The record is from RefSeq and is a predicted model, not a curated record. The transcript is spliced from 3 exons.